This 1055-nucleotide ribosomal RNA is filed under the name Streptomyces sp. DR-R20. RNAcentral describes it as "bacterial SSU rRNA". It matches the Rfam family "Bacterial small subunit ribosomal RNA", at positions 395 to 1444 of the family's 1533-position model. The record is from RNAcentral. Lineage: Bacteria; Bacillati; Actinomycetota; Actinomycetes; Kitasatosporales; Streptomycetaceae.
CGCCGCGUGAGGGAAUGACGGCCUUCGGGUUGUAAACCUCUUUCAGCAGGGAGAGAAGCGAAAGUGACGGUACCUGCAGAAGAAGCGCCGGCUAACUACGUGCCAGCAGCCGCGGUAAUACGUAGGGCGCGAGCGUUGUCCGGGAAUUAUUGGGCGUAAAGAGCUCGUAGGCGGCUUGUCACGUCGGUUGUGAAAGCCCGGGGCUUAACCCCGGGUCUGCAGUCGAUACGGGCAGGCUAGAGUUCGGUAGGGGAGAUCGGAAUUCCUGGUGUAGCGGUGAAAUGCGCAGAUAUCAGGAGGAACCACCGGUGGCGAAGGCGGAUCUCUGGGCCGAUACUGACGCUGAGGAGCGAAAGCGUGGGGAGCGAACAGGAUUAGAUACCCUGGUAGUCCACGCCGUAAACGGUGGGCACUAGGUGUGGGCAACAUUUCCACGUUGUCCCGUGCCGCAGCUAACGCAUUAAGUGCCCCGCCUGGGGAGUACGGCCGCAAGGCUAAAACUCAAAGGAAUUGACGGGGGCCCGCACAAGCGGCGGAGCAUGUGGCCUUAAUUCGACGCAACGCGAAGAACCUUACCCAAGGCUUUGACAUACACCGGAAACGUCUGGAGACAGGCGCCCCCUUGUGGUCGGUGUACAGGUGGUGCAUGGCUGUCGUCAGCUCGUGUCGUGAGAUGGUUGGGUUAAGUCCCGCAACGAGCGCAACCCUUUGUCCCGUGUUGCCAGCAGGCCCUUGUGGUGCUGGGGACUCACGGGAGACCGCCGGGGUCAACUCGGAGGAAGGUGGGGACGACGUCAAGUCAUCAUGCCCCUUAUGUCUUGGGCUGCACACGUGCUACAAUGGCCGGUACAAUGAGCUGCGAUACCGUGAGGUGGAGCGAAUCUCAAAAAGCCGGUCUCAGUUCGGAUUGGGGUCUGCAACUCGACCCCAUGAAGUCGGAGUCGCUAGUAAUCGCAGAUCAGCAUUGCUGCGGUGAAUACGUUCCCGGGCCUUGUACACACCGCCCGUCACGUCACGAAAGUCGGUAACACCCGAAGCCGGUGGCCCAACCUCCU